UCGAGCGUCGGCGUAGCGGCUCUGGUCAUCCCCGAACUCGGCCAGCACCCGGGCGCCGAUGACCGGACCCAUCCCCGGCUGG
This 82-nucleotide small RNA is filed under the name Intrasporangium chromatireducens Q5-1. RNAcentral describes it as "Intrasporangium sp. Q5-1 Actinobacteria sRNA Ms_AS-4". It matches the Rfam family "Actinobacteria sRNA Ms_AS-4". The record is from Rfam by way of RNAcentral. Lineage: Bacteria; Bacillati; Actinomycetota; Actinomycetes; Micrococcales; Intrasporangiaceae.